GAUGAACGCUGGCGGCGUGCCUAAUACAUGCAAGUCGAGCGAACAGAUAAGGAGCUUGCUCCUUUGACGUUAGCGGCGGACGGGUGAGUAACACGUGGAUAACCUACCUAUAAGACUGGGAUAACUUCGGGAAACCGGAGCUAAUACCGGAUAACAUAUUGAACCGCAUGGUUCAAUAGUGAAAGGCGGCUUUGCCGUCACUUAUAGACGGAUCCGCGCCGGAUUAGCUAGUUGGUAAGGUAACGGCUUACCAAGGCAACGAUACGUAGCCGACCUGAGAGGGUGAUCGGCCACACUGGAACUGAGACACGGUCCAGACUCCUACGGGAGGCAGCAGUAGGGAAUCUUCCGCAAUGGGCGAAAGCCUGACGCAGCAACGCCGCGUGAGUGAUGAAGGUCUUCGGAUCGUAAAGCUCUGUUAUCAGGGAAGAACAAAUGUGUAAGUAACUGUGCACAUCUUGACGGUACCUGAUCAGAAAGCCACGGCUAACUACGUG
Molecule: ribosomal RNA, 497 nt
Filed under: uncultured bacterium
Lineage: Bacteria
Description: partial 16S ribosomal RNA
Rfam family: Bacterial small subunit ribosomal RNA
Source: RNAcentral